Molecule: unclassified non-coding RNA, 217 nt
Filed under: uncultured Tomentella
Lineage: Eukaryota; Fungi; Basidiomycota; Agaricomycetes; Thelephorales; Thelephoraceae
Description: sequence contains ITS2
Source: RNAcentral
ACACCUCAACUCUCAUGGUCCGCCAUGUGAGCUUGGACUUUGGGGGCCUUGCCGGCCUACUGUCGGCUCCCCUCAAACGAAUCAGCUUGCCAGUGUCUGGUGGCAUCACAGGUGUGAUAACUAUCUACGCUUGUGGUCUACUGCCAGGUAACCUCCAGUGAUGGAGGUUCGCUGGAGCUCACAAAUGUCUCUCCUCAGCGAGGACAGCUUCUUGAAC